UGGGGAAUAUUGCACAAUGGGCGCAAGCCUGAUGCAGCCAUGCCGCGUGUGUGAAGAAGGCCUUCGGGUUGUAAAGCACUUUCAGCGAGGAGGAAGGUGGUGAACUUAAUACGUUCAUCAAUUGACGUUACUCGCAGAAGAAGCACCGGCUAACUCCGUGCCAGCAGCCGCGGUAAUACGGAGGGUGCAAGCGUUAAUCGGAAUUACUGGGCGUAAAGCGCACGCAGGCGGUUUGUUAAGUCAGAUGUGAAAUCCCCGGGCUCAACCUGGGAACUGCAUUUGAAACUGGCAGGCUAGAGUCUCGUAGAGGGGGGUAGAAUUCCAGGUGUAGCGGUGAAAUGCGUAGAGAUCUGGAGGAAUACCGGUGGCGAAGGCGGCCCCCUGGACGAAGACUGACGCUCAGGUGCGAAAAGCGUGGGGAGCAAAACAGGAUUAGAUACCCUGGUAGUCCACGCUGUAAAACGAUGUCGAUUUGGAGGUUGUGCCCUUGAGGCGUGGCUUCCGGAGCUAACGCGUUAAAUCGACCGCCUGGGGAGUACGGCCGCAAGGUUAAAAACUU
Molecule: ribosomal RNA, 559 nt
Filed under: uncultured bacterium
Lineage: Bacteria
Description: partial 16S ribosomal RNA
Rfam family: Bacterial small subunit ribosomal RNA
Source: RNAcentral